This 147-nucleotide small nuclear RNA is filed under the name Nannospalax galili (Upper Galilee mountains blind mole rat). RNAcentral's name for it is "U1 spliceosomal RNA (ENSNGAG00000009058.1)". Lineage: Eukaryota; Metazoa; Chordata; Mammalia; Rodentia; Spalacidae. The record is from RNAcentral.
AAAGACAAAAAAAAAAAAAAAAAAGUUUUUCCCAAGGUGCAGCUUAUGCAUCACACUCUAGAAACACUGACCCCUGCAAUUUCCCCACAUGUGGUAAAUUCAGCUGUAUAAUUUGUGGUAGUGGGAGACUGCAUUUGCUCUUUCUUC